This is a long non-coding RNA of Oryza sativa Japonica Group (Japanese rice), 1424 nucleotides long. RefSeq lists it as uncharacterized. The record is from RefSeq and is a predicted model, not a curated record. NCBI's taxonomy places the organism in Eukaryota, Viridiplantae, Streptophyta, Magnoliopsida, Poales, Poaceae.
GUUUUCUUUUGCUGGCCAACAAGCCCAACUUUACACACCAUCAAGCCCAAUCCACACUCCUUGGCCCAAUUUCCACCGCAUCUUCCCACACUCCAUCCACACCACCAUUCCCGUUCCCCUCCUGCGUCCGAGCGGUCGCUUCUCCCCGCGCCGCCAGAAACUGCGACCGCGGCACCGGCGCCUCACCUUCCAGAUCCUGCGUAGCGUCGUGGUUCCCCGCCAGCUCUUGGACUGCUCGCCUCCAAACGGAAACCACCGUUCACAUCGAGCAAACUUUAUGGCUGUCAUCAAGAUAGUUGUUGUCUCCUCAACUUCAAGAAACUAUCUUCUUCCACAUCUUGCUCGGUCGAGUCCUCACACGCUGCCCGAUUCACUUCCUACUGCAUCGAAAACCAUAGUUCCGUUCAUUUUCCCUGCCUUUAAAGUUUCAGCCACCUCCUCACCUUCAAGAAACCUCAGGGGUAUAUAUUCCUCUACCAAAGAUUAUCAACGGAUUAAGGACAUACGAGUAUUGAUUUGGUUUCAGCUCUUCUUCAGAUUUCCACUGUCCCAAUAUUUAUUUGGAUUCGUCUCUUCUUCAGAUUUGUACUGUCCCUAUUCAAUAGGAUUGAAAUUUAUUUGGAUUUGUCACUUCAUAUUUCUACUGUCCCUAUUCAACACGACUGACAUUUAUUUGGAUUUGUCUCUUCUUCAGAUUUAUACUGUCCCUAUUCAACAACAUUGAAAUUUAUUUAGUAUGUACAAUUUGUUAAAGGUGCCAAUUCAUGAUCAUGGUAUUAUAUGACGACUCUAAAGAUCAUAUAUAUGCAUAUACCGGUUUUAUGUAUUGCUGCACCUUAAUUUGUUUUAUUUCUGAAUACUACGGUUGCAGAUCAUUGCUAUUAGUAGAUUAUAUACUGUCGUUGUAGUAGCAGCUCUGGGCUACCGCUGAGGUCAGUCGCCAUGGCCAUCCAAAGCAGCAGUUGCAGCAUAUAUUUCCUCCGAUAUGAAUCCUCUAUUAAGAAAAAUAUCAACAAUACAAUCGGUAAUGUUUAAUUUUCUCAUCUUCAUUCAUGGUCAUGUUUUCCAAAUAUUAUAUUAUGCCCACCCGACGUUACUUGCUUUGCAAUUUCUUCCAUAAGAACAAAUGAACAAUAUCAUAUUUUCUGCAGACUAUCAGGGACUGAGUUCAGCAAUGAACUUAAUUUAGGUAAAUAUUGGUCCUUGGAAGUUUUCAUUUUUUUUAGAUGAAGGGCAACGCCCUCUGCAUCCUAUGGUGGAUGCACCUUGCAUCUGUCCAUGCUAACCUUCUUUGCUAUAUGAUGUUCUUACUUAACAUCUUUCCCUUCUUUCUUAGUAGAAUAUAAAGGAUGUUCUUUGUAAUAGUACACAAUUUAACAUUUUGUCAAACAAUAAGGGAUUCAGCAUGUAUGUUUCUAUCGACA